RNAcentral lists this ribosomal RNA (490 nucleotides) under uncultured bacterium. RNAcentral describes it as "partial 16S ribosomal RNA". It matches the Rfam family "Bacterial small subunit ribosomal RNA", at positions 28 to 507 of the family's 1533-position model. The record is from RNAcentral.
GAUGAACGCUAGCGAUAGGCUUAACACAUGCAAGUCGAGGGGCAGCAUGGUCUUAGCUUGCUAAGACUGAUGGCGACCGGCGCACGGGUGCGUAACGCGUAUGCAACUUGCCUCACAGAGGGGGAUAACCCGUCGAAAGACGGACUAAUACCGCGUACACUCUAUUUUGGGCAUCCAAGGUAGAGGAAAUGAAAUUCGCUGUGAGAUAGGCAUGCGUCCCAUUAGCUAGUUGGUGAGGUAACGGCUCACCAAGGCGACGAUGGGUAGGGGAACUGAGAGGUUGAACACCCACACUGGUACUGAGACACGGACCAGACUCCUACGGGAGGCAGCAGUGAGGAAUAUUGGGCAAUGGGCGAGAGCCUGAACCAGCCAAGUCGCGUGAAGGAUGACUGUCUUAUGGAUUGUAAACUUCUUUUGUAGGGGAAUAAAGAGGGGCACGUGUGCCCCAGUGAAUGUACCCGACGAAUAAGCAUCGGCUAACUCCGUG